UACGUAGGGUGCGAGCGUUAAUCGGAAUUACUGGGCGUAAAGCGUGCGCAGGCGGUUUUGUAAGCCCGAUGUGAAAUCCCCGGGCUUAACCUGGGAAUGGCAUUUGGGACUGCAAGGCUUGAGUUUGGCAGAGGAGACUGGAAUUCCUGGUGUAGCAGUGAAAUGCGUAGAUAUCAGGAGGAAUACCGAUGGCGAAGGCAGGUCUCUGGGCUAGAUCUGACGCUCAUGCACGAAAGCGUGGGGAGCAAACAGG
RNAcentral lists this ribosomal RNA (253 nucleotides) under uncultured bacterium. RNAcentral describes it as "partial 16S ribosomal RNA". It matches the Rfam family "Bacterial small subunit ribosomal RNA", at positions 524 to 776 of the family's 1533-position model. The record is from RNAcentral.